Molecule: transfer RNA, 60 nt
Filed under: Evacanthus acuminatus
Lineage: Eukaryota; Metazoa; Arthropoda; Insecta; Hemiptera; Cicadellidae
Also listed under: 2 other names
Description: tRNA-Cys
Source: RNAcentral
AGUCUUAUAGUUUAUAAAAAUAUAAAAUUGCAAAUUUUAAGUAGGGUAGUCCUAAGACUU